RNAcentral lists this ribosomal RNA (490 nucleotides) under uncultured organism. RNAcentral describes it as "bacterial SSU rRNA". It matches the Rfam family "Bacterial small subunit ribosomal RNA", at positions 28 to 507 of the family's 1533-position model. The record is from RNAcentral.
GAUGAACGCUAGCUACAGGCUUAACACAUGCAAGUCGCGGGGCAGCAUGAAGUCAGCUUGCUGACUUUGAUGGCGACCGGCGCACGGGUGAGUAACGCGUAUCCAACCUGCCUGUUACCACGGCACAGCCCGUCGAAAGGCGGAUUAAUGCCGUAUGUGGUCCUUUGCGGGCAUCUAAUUAGGACUAAAGGUUCAGCGGUAACGGAUGGGGAUGCGUCCGAUUAGCUAGACGGCGGGGUAACGGCCCACCGUGGCUACGAUCGGUAGGGGUUCUGAGAGGAAGGUCCCCCACACUGGAACUGAGACACGGUCCAGACUCCUACGGGAGGCAGCAGUGAGGAAUAUUGGUCAAUGGGCGGAAGCCUGAACCAGCCAAGUAGCGUGAGGGAAGACUGCCCUAUGGGUUGUAAACCUCUUUUGUGCGGGGAUAAAGUGAGGGACGUGUCCCUUAUUGCAGGUACCGCACGAAUAAGGACCGGCUAAUUCCGUG